Molecule: ribosomal RNA, 438 nt
Filed under: uncultured bacterium
Lineage: Bacteria
Description: partial 16S ribosomal RNA
Rfam family: Bacterial small subunit ribosomal RNA
Source: RNAcentral
GUCCAGACUCCUACGGGAGGCAGCAGUGGGGAAUAUUGCACAAUGGGGGAAACCCUGAUGCAGCGACGCCGCGUGAGCGAUGAAGUAUUUCGGUAUGUAAAGCUCUCUCAGCAGGGAAGAAAAUGACGGUACCUGACUAAGAAGCCCCGGCUAACUACGUGCCAGCAGCCGCGGUAAUACGUAGGGGGCAAGCGUUAUCCGGAUUUACUGGGUGUAAAGGGCGUGUAGCCGGGCCGGCAAGUCAGAUGUGAAAUCCCAAGGCUCAACCUUGGAACUGCAUUUGAAACUGUUGGUCUUGAGUAUCGGAGAGGCAGGCGGAAUUCCUAGUGUAGCGGUGAAAUGCGUAGAUAUUAGGAGGAACACCAGUGGCGAAGGCGGCCUGCUGGGCUUUUACUGACGCUGAGGCUCGAAAGUGUGGGGAGCAAACAGGAUUAGAUA